Molecule: ribosomal RNA, 315 nt
Filed under: uncultured eukaryote
Lineage: Eukaryota
Description: partial 18S ribosomal RNA
Rfam family: Eukaryotic small subunit ribosomal RNA
Source: RNAcentral
CCCUUAGACGUUCUGGGCCGCACGCGCGCUACACUGACCAGUGCAACAAGCAUCCGUCCUUGGCCGACAGGCUCGGGCAAUCUUUGAACGCUGGUCGUGAUGGGGAUAGACUUUUGCAAUUUUUGGUCUUCAACGAGGAAUUCCUAGUAAACGCAAGUCAUCAACUUGCAUUGAUUACGUCCCUGCCCGUUGUACACACCGCCCGUCGCACCUACCGAUUGAAUGGUCCGGUGAAGCCUCCGGAUUGGCGCGCACCUCGGUGCCGCCGAGAAGUUGGCUAAACCUUACCAUUUAGAGGAAGGUGAAGUCGUAACA